RNAcentral lists this ribosomal RNA (477 nucleotides) under uncultured organism. RNAcentral's name for it is "partial 16S ribosomal RNA". It matches the Rfam family "Bacterial small subunit ribosomal RNA", at positions 332 to 800 of the family's 1533-position model. The record is from RNAcentral.
UACACUCCUGCGGGAGGCAGCAGUGGGGAAUUUUGGACAAUGGGCGAAAGCCUGAUCCAGCAAUGCCGCGUGUGUGAAGAAGGCCUUCGGGUUGUAAAGCACUUUUGUCCGGAAAGAAAUCCUUGGCUCUAAUACAGUCGAGGGAUGACGGUACCGGAAGAAUAAGCCCCGGCUAACUACGUGCCAGCAGCCGCGGUAAUACGUAGGGUGCGAGCGUUAAUCGGAAUUACUGGGCGUAAAGCGUGCGCAGGCGGUUUGCUAAGACCGAUGUGAAAUCCCCGGGCUCAACCUGGGAACUGCAUUGGGGACUGGCAGGCUAGAGUAUGGCAGAGGGGGGUAGAAUUCCACGUGUAGCAGUGAAAUGCGUAGAGAUGUGGAGGAAUACCGAUGGCGAAGGCAGCCCCCUGGGCCAAUACUGACGCUCAUGCACGAAAGCGUGGGGAGCAAACAGGAUUAGAAACCCGAGUAGUCCCAUGA